Molecule: ribosomal RNA, 161 nt
Filed under: uncultured bacterium
Lineage: Bacteria
Description: partial 16S rRNA
Rfam family: Bacterial small subunit ribosomal RNA
Source: RNAcentral
GGAAUCUUCCACAAUGGGCGAAAGCCUGAUGGAGCAACGCCGCGUGUGUGAUGAAGGGUUUCGGCUCGUAAAACACUGUUGUAAGAGAAGAAAGACAUUGAGAGUAACUGUUCAAUGUGUGACGGUAUCUUACCAGAAAGGAACGGCUAAAUACGUGCCAG